CAUCGUAGAUGCUUGCAUGUGUGAAUAAGGGAUGUCCAAAAGCAGCCAAGGAUGACUUGCCGGCUGGCCGCCUCAGCCUGCUGCAUUUCUCGUUAUGUUUUUUCUUUCACCAUUUCAUUUUUUUCCUACUAAAGCUGUAAAGCCGGCCGGCAAGUCGUCUCGGGCUACUCUACUCCCUUCUUCUCUCAUGCUACAUUUUACGAUG
This 205-nucleotide microRNA precursor is filed under the name Linum usitatissimum (flax). Lineage: Eukaryota; Viridiplantae; Streptophyta; Magnoliopsida; Malpighiales; Linaceae. The record is from RNAcentral.